This 757-nucleotide ribosomal RNA is filed under the name uncultured Burkholderiales bacterium. RNAcentral's name for it is "SSU rRNA". It matches the Rfam family "Bacterial small subunit ribosomal RNA", at positions 62 to 814 of the family's 1533-position model. Lineage: Bacteria; Pseudomonadati; Pseudomonadota; Betaproteobacteria; Burkholderiales. The record is from RNAcentral.
UCGAACGGUAACAGGGAGCUUGCUCCGCUGACGAGUGGCGAACGGGUGAGUAAUAUAUCGGAACGUACCCAAGAGUGGGGGAUAACGUAGCGAAAGUUACGCUAAUACCGCAUACGAUCUAUGGAUGAAAGCAGGGGACCUUCGGGCCUUGUGCUCCUGGAGCGGCCGAUAUCUGAUUAGCUAGUUGGUGAGGUAAAGGCUCACCAAGGCGACGAUCAGUAGCUGGUCUGAGAGGACGACCAGCCACACUGGAACUGAGACACGGUCCAGACUCCUACGGGAGGCAGCAGUGGGGAAUUUUGGACAAUGGGCGCAAGCCUGAUCCAGCAAUGCCGCGUGAGUGAAGAAGGCCUUCGGGUUGUAAAGCUCUUUUGUCAGGGAAGAAACGGCUGUGGCUAAUAUCCACGGCUAAUGACGGUACCUGAAGAAUAAGCACCGGCUAACUACGUGCCAGCAGCCGCGGUAAUACGUAGGGUGCAAGCGUUAAUCGGAAUUACUGGGCGUAAAGCGUGCGCAGGCGGUUUUGUAAGUCUGUCGUGAAAUCCCCGGGCUCAACCUGGGAAUUGCGAUGGAGACUGCAAGGCUAGAAUCUGGCAGAGGGGGGUAGAAUUCCACGUGUAGCAGUGAAAUGCGUAGAGAUGUGGAGGAACACCGAUGGCGAAGGCAGCCCCCUGGGUCAAGAUUGACGCUCAUGCACGAAAGCGUGGGGAGCAAACAGGAUUAGAUACCCUGGUAGUCCACGCCCUAAACGAUGUCU